Long non-coding RNA from Sinocyclocheilus rhinocerous, 168 nucleotides. RefSeq lists it as uncharacterized. The transcript is spliced from 3 exons. NCBI's taxonomy places the organism in Eukaryota, Metazoa, Chordata, Actinopteri, Cypriniformes, Cyprinidae. The record is from RefSeq and is a predicted model, not a curated record.
CCCCGAUCCAUACCGAGCAUCCAUGUACCCUCACCGGCAGUGCCCAAACUGACGAUGGCCAAGUGUCGACGUAAUGUAGAGAACUUCCUAGAGGCCUGCCGCAGAAUUGGAGUUCCUCAGGAUAGUUUGUGUUCAGCGGGUGACGUCCUAAAAGGGGAGGUGGUUUGU